Molecule: ribosomal RNA, 468 nt
Filed under: uncultured bacterium
Lineage: Bacteria
Description: partial 16S ribosomal RNA
Rfam family: Bacterial small subunit ribosomal RNA
Source: RNAcentral
GACGAACGCUGGCGGCGUGCUCAACACAUGCAAGUCGAACGGAAAGGCCCUGCUUUUGUGGGGUGCUCGAGUGGCGAACGGGUGAGUAACACGUGAGUAACCUGCCCUUGACUUUGGGAUAACUUCAGGAAACUGGGGCUAAUACCGGAUAGGAGCUCCUGCUGCGUGGUGGGGGAUGGAAAGUUUCGGCGGUUGGGGAUGGACUCGCGGCUUAUCAGCUUGUUGGUGGGGUAGUGGCUUACCAAGGCUAUGACGGGUAGCCGGCCUGAGAGGGUGACCGGCCACAUGGGGACUGAGAUACGGCCCAGACUCCUACGGUAGGCAGCAGUGGGGAAUAUUGCACAAUGGGCGGAAGCCUGAUGCAGCAACGCCGCGUGCGUGAUGACGGCCUUUGGGUUGUAAACCGCUUUCGCCUGUGACGAAGCGUGAGUGACGGUAAUGGGUAAAGAAGCACCGGCUAACUACGUG